This 339-nucleotide unclassified non-coding RNA is filed under the name fungal sp. Its description in RNAcentral is "partial internal transcribed spacer region". The stretch from base 1 to 46 matches the Rfam family "Eukaryotic small subunit ribosomal RNA", at positions 1786 to 1831 of the family's 1831-position model. The record is from RNAcentral. Lineage: Eukaryota; Fungi.
AAGUCGUAACAAGGUUUCCGUAGGUGAACCUGCGGAAGGAUCAUUAACACGUUCCAAAACGUAUCAACCAAACGGUUAAGUGCAAACUUAUUCCCUAGGUAGGAAAAGCUGUUCACAUCUCUUUAGUGAUGGGCAAGUCUUCGGGCUUGCAGAGAGAGGUGACUAGGGUCUCGAGCCCGGUGCUUUCCUACUUAGGCAUUUCCCCCCUUUUUUCCAUCACUUCCAACCAACCCUUUUCACCAACUUUAAACUUAUGACUAAAUCUUUCGAACGAAGAAAUUUGUUUGGAAUUGUAUAUCUAACACUGUACAACUCUUAGCAAUGGAUAUCUUGGUUCUC